This 9067-nucleotide long non-coding RNA is filed under the name Cricetulus griseus (Chinese hamster). RNAcentral's name for it is "lncRNA (ENSCGRG00015033906.1)". The record is from RNAcentral. Lineage: Eukaryota; Metazoa; Chordata; Mammalia; Rodentia; Cricetidae.
AGCUACUUGCUCCUGUCUAGACCUACGUGCUUCCUUGCUCAGAGCCCAGAUUGGGGCUCUCCAGUACAAAAAUACAAAUCCCAAAAUGCCUCCCGCCACCCAAUCGGAAAGCUUGUGAGCACUGUAUGACACCACGGGUGGGAAAUCCUACACCUGACCUCAUGGCAUGUGCCCCACUCAAAACAGAUGUUUAAAAACUACCAUAGAAGGAAACCAUCAGGUUGUGUGUGUCAGGUGCAUUUGAAAUGUAAGAUAGUUCUGAGUUUAGACUUGGACCCAUCUCCAAGUUAUCUUGGUUUCAGAUGUAUAUAUUUCAAAAUCCCAAACACUUCUCUUUUUUUAGCAUUUAUUUAUUGAUUUCAUGCAUGACAUCACAUAAAUGUGAAAGUGGGAAGGCAAUUUGCACAAGUCAGUUCUCUCCCUCCAUCGCACGGUUCCAGGGAUUGAACUCAGGGCACUGGCAGUGAACGCCCGCACUCACUGAGUCAUCAUUCAGUGGCUCUACAAACACUUCUUAAGUUGGUCAGAUUUUGUGUUGUGACAAAAUAAUGACAAUGCAAUCUAAAAGUAAAAUCUGAUCUAUUUUGGCUCAUGGUUUCAGAGAGUUCAGUCCAUGUUUGCUUGGCACCAUGGUGUACUGGCACAAAAUGUCCUGGUGGUGGUAACACAACCCAGAGGCGUCUCUUCAUAGAAAAUAGAGAAGAGAGAGAGAGAGAGAGAGAGAGAGAGAGAGAGAGAGAGAGAGAGAGAGAGAGAGAGAGAGAGAAAGAAAGAGAUUGAUUGAGGAAGUGGUCAGAGAAACAUGAGCCAGGCACCUGUACCCUUUAACUAGACCCCACCACCUACCUUCCACCACUUCUUAAUGAUGUCAUCAACUAUAAAUCUAUCAAGGAUCAAACCAUUGAUUAGGUCAGAGUGCUGGUAACCUACUCUUCCUUGGAAAAGCCAUGGCAGACACACUCAGAGGUGUGCCUUAUGAACUAUCUUCUACCUAUGUGUCACUCGGGUGAAGUUGACAAUUAAGAUUAAUCAUCCUACUUGGUUCCCAAGCAAUGGAUAUCAAGAACACUUGCCCUGAAUAAAUAAAGCCAAGAUGACAUAUGGAAGGGGUGCUGUUGCUUCAAAUUCUGUUCCAACUGCCAACACUCAGACUUCGGAACCACUUAGAAGCAGAGCAGAGGAGGAAACUGGGGCUAGGGAGAUGACUCAGCUGGGAAAUUGAAGUGGUAAGGUCAUGCAAGCGUGGAGACCGGAGUUCCAGCCCCGGUGCCCAUGUACAAAGCCAUGCAUAGAUGUUCACACUUGUAAUCCCAGGACUGAGGAGGCAGAGACAGACAGGCCGGUUGGUCAGUGAGAGACCCUGCUUAAAAAAAAAAAAAAAAGGUGGACAGCUCCUAUGACUAACACCUAAGUUUGACCUCUGGCUUCCACACACAUACACACAUGUGCAUCAGCACCUACUUACAUACAUGCAACAUGCACGCACACACUGGAAAUCAAGACACAGAAAGAGUGAAUGAAUUACAUGGGGUCACUGCUGAAAGUAAGUGAAACUCGGGGCUCUGCUUUGCUUCAUCUCUGCCUUGCUUUCCUUAUACCUUUGAACCUAUAUAUACCAGCUGUGACAACAGCACAUUCAAGAGGCCAGAAUUUAUGGAGCAGAAAGGCCACCAUGAUGAAAGCAAUAAAGGACACCCCAGUUGUCACAGUGGAUAUUUGGUGUGUGUGUGUGUGUGGCAGAAACUGCUAGUGUUCACCAGCAUUUGUGUAACAGAGCUGGGAAUUUCUCAGAUUCCUGCAUCCAAGUGGAGCAUACUGACCAAUUCCUGCCAAUGCAAUGUGAACAGAAGAGAGAGGAUUGGAGUAAUAGUGUCAUGUGUGGUGAUAUCUUUCUUGCACAAAUAAAGCCUGUCUGGGGGUCAGAGAAUGGAGCUUGCCACUAGCUAACCAUAGAGGUCUAGAGGUCUGUACAGACAGACAGGAAAUUGUGUAGCUGGGCAGAAACAGGAUAUAAGCAGGGAGAAACAGGAAACUGUUCUCUGCUGAGAUGCUUAGGAGGUAAGGUGUGCUGUGGCUGGCUUCUCCUCUCUGAUCUCUAGCAUUUCUCUCUAUGUCUAACUCUGCCUUUUUAUUAUAUAGACCAAUUAAGAACUCCUUCAGCCCCAACAUUUCUGCAAAGAGCUUUCUCUGCAUCCACUGAUGCCAACUCACAUUCAACUGAAGAGUAGAUAAGAAAACCUCAGGUAGACACUGGGAUUGGAUGGUGUUUUGUUAUAGCAGCCAGCAUGCUUAUGUGGUAAGCACUUUACCAAAGGAACCAAGUCCCUGGCCCCUUGAUCUAAGCCUUUGAAUUUACGCCCUCCUUAGACAUGAGCCUAGCUUUGCAGUUAGACCAGGAAAACCCAGCCGCAUUCCACUUUCUUCAUGGAAACCAAACAGUCAAGCUCACAUAUUUUCUCUUCUGUUCUGAUAACAUUUUAUUGAUUAUUAGACAGCAAACAAAAGGCAGGCAGAUGUGGCACUACACGCAGUGACAGACUGCAAACAGGGAAAGUCAAUUCCACACCUUGCUGGUUCAUUUGCCAUGUCAGUGACCCCGCUGCUGCUUAAUACCAGUCCUCACCUGGGUAAGGCUUGGACAAGGCACUGGGCUCCUCUGGGCCUGUCUUCCAAUGACCAGAGAACGUCUGUGAACAGCAGACCAGACUGCUCAUUGUGAGAGCUGGACACCACAGGGGCAACCUGGGGUCAACUUCCAAUCAACAGGGAGUAACUAGGUUCUUGUUCCAACGGAAGAGGUUAGAGGAGACAGAAGAAAGCAGAGAGGAGACACCCAGAAUAAUUCAACCUCAAGGUAGUUAAUUUGAUACUAACUAUGGGAGGAGGGACACACAUACAUACUUACAUACAUGCUGCAACAUGCUUCAUAAACUAUAUGAGAGGGCUGUCCCAACUGAUUGAGAGGAAAGGAAAAAUCAAGGAAGGCUUCAUAGAAAAGGGAGAGUUGGAGACAAGCUGACCAGCUAUCCUUCAAAACACUGGCUCCUCUGUACAGAGGGACAAAGGAUUUGAAAUCACAUGGUACGCUGCAGGUUGAAUCUGGAACUAUCCUCCACCCCACACCAACCAAAGGCUUAUGUGUUAAGGUCUGGGUCUCCUGGAAGUCUUCAUGCCAUUGGGGAAAUGCCCUUGGGGAGACUGUGGAAUUGGACUCAGGACCUUCUUUCUUUAUCCAGCCAUGAAAUGAGUGGCUUUGCUCUGCCGUAGGCUUCUACUCAGGUUUGUCCCCAAGCAAUGGCUCUGACCGGAACCUCCAAAACAACGAGCCAAAAUAAACCUUUUUUCUUUAAACGCUGAUUAUCUCUGUUAUUUGCUAAAGCUAUGGAAAGCUAACACACCCCAUUCAAUAAAAGCUCAUUACUGGAAUACGAGAGGGACUUUCGUCAUGAAGCAGUUCCAGAACAUUCCCCACUGUGGGCUGCAUGAACAAUAGAUGGAGAGUUGUCUGUAAAGUCUGGGGCAGGGAAGGAAGACUUACUUUCCUGGGAAGCCUCCUGGAGCAGCUCUAGAUAAGAGCCCUGAGGGUCUGACAUAGAGCUAUGUGCCCAGCAGUACUGCACCCCAAGGGAGACCCAAGCACCCCACAAAUGUAGUGGGCUGCUUGCUACUGGGGAUGCUCAAAUUCUGCCUGAUUCUUGGAAGCUAGGUAGACUGCUCAUCCCCCCCUGUUCUAAUAGUCAUAGGUCCAGUGGACCCCUCCUUAAGUAGUACCUCUCUGGACAUGCGUGCUGAAGUUACUUGUCAUGGAGAGGCAAGUAUGGUCUCCUAGGACAGAGAGUUAUGAUUUAGAAAUAGCUAUGGUCUGGCCUUUCUAACACUUGCCACUGUACUCACUGUAAGUUUAAUGAGGGACAAAUCCUUUGCCUAUUAGCACUCUAAAGUCCAGGUCAGAAGAUGGAGAAUCUGUACGGCAACCUAGUAAGCUCACUUCCCAAGGCCACCCAAUUGCAGGCAGCUCAACCCCAGGCCAGUCAGAGCCCUUGGUACAAAGAAUUUUAUGAUCCGGCAGACUUCCACCUCCUCCAAAAUCCAUACUUGAGUUUCUGGGAAGGGUGGGAGGUGGAAAGGAUAGGUAAAGGAGGGACCAAAGAGGGAGACAGAACACAACUUUAAAAAAGAAACCGAAGAGAACUUAGUAACUUGGAGUCUGCAGAGAUCAGCACCUGGCAGGUCACAAAAGCCAAAAGGCAGGUCCCAGGAUGGGUCAAUUUCAGACUUAAUAUUUGCCCUUCACUAGGCAAACUAAUAAAUCCCCAAUGGCUUUAACUAUUCAGCACUCCCCAUUUUUACUUAUUGGUCAAAAUGACAGGCAGACUUGGUUUUUUUUUACCCCCUUGCCUUGCAGUCACUCAGGGCUAAACAGCCCCCAUUAUUUCCCGUCACCAGCUGUGUGUCUAUUUGCCUUUUCCUUCAACAAACUCAUGCUCAGUGCAACUGACAACAUGUGCAAACAUCUUUGAAGUAUUCUUUGGUAAUGGACUUCCCUGGGAUGGGACAGUCUUAAUUCCAAUUUGUGCAGCUGAAGGGACAGUGAGCUACCAAUCAGGAAAUAGACAGCAGCCAGGGCAGGCAGGGCGACAAACCUGACUCACAGGCAACGUCUUUACUUCCCUGCUCCAUUGCAUGUACGAAGAAAAACUGAGCCACAGAGGCAGGGUGGAGUGACUGACACAUGACCUUGAGCUGGUUGAGGCAAAGGACUAGAUCCCAGGUAUCCAGACCACUCCUCAACCUAUCAAAAGUUCAAGGAUCUCCUUAGGCUUCCCUCCACAUGUUUUCCACAAGCCUACAGAGUCGGUGGUCAUUUCCAAAGGUACUCUCUGCCCUGCAGUCUCCUGAGCAGGAGGCCACACUUCCCCAUAAACAUCUUCCCAUCUGUAGUAAUUCCAUACUCAUAUCUCCAUAGAAAGGUCCCCAGGUCUGUUUGUAGAGCAGAGUGUUCCUAUGGUUUGGAGUCAAGUUCAAAUGCCCCAUAAGAUCCCAGGGGUGCGGAGCAGAGUAAAUUUGAAAUGUCGUUAUGAUCACGAUACCUGAGUCAUGAUCAGGUUGAGAGUGGUCAGCACGGGGAUGGGGUGAUUUCCAUUGGCCCAUGGAUAUCCGCUAAUGGUCUCUUCCACUACAGAAAAUACAGUAGAUCUUUAAGACACCAACUCCUAGAAAACUGAUGGCUUGUCCUUCAAAUACAACAGCAAUGUGAAUGUCGUCAGGAGAUGGUCCUAGGCACCUGUGCCCAGCCCUGCAUGUUAAAUACAAGGAGCUAAAAUGAGGGACUUUCUGACAUCAAAAUCUCAGGUCUCCUGUUUCCCUGCCCUGUGAUUUUUAUUUUAAACCAGCAUACACAUACCACUAGGAUCCAAAAAUAGGAGACUGAUUAGGGGAGAAGACAAAAUAUAUUAGCUCAAAAAUGUUGUUGAGGAGUUGACAAUCACGGCCACGUGGCAGCCUCUGAAUUGCUCUUUCAAAUUCUCUUCUUCCCACCAUGGUGGUAAAUACUGUUCAGCCCCCUUCACAAUUCCCUCUCAACCAAAGGCUGCCUCCCCAGGCCUGGAUGACAUCUGGUCAGAAUUUAAAAGGAGAUUCCUGUGUGAAUAGAUUGUUCCAGAAAACUGAUGAGGUAGGGUACUUUAGCUGCUGAGAUCCGGGGGCUCUAUGUGGAGGAAAAGGGAGUAGGAAACAGCUGUCUCUAUCUCAAUGGCAAAGCUUCUUCUAGGAUCAAAGGGUGACAGGGUACAUAUGAAGGGGGUCAGCUGAAACAUGAUCAUCUUUUGGGGGGGCAGACAGGGAGACAGAGAGACAGAGUGAGAGAGUGAGCAUGCAUGCAUGCACAUGUGUGCUUGAGCAGAGACCAAAGUUUCUGUGGAGGUCAGAAAAAGGUGUGUGAUGCCCUAGAACUUGAGCUCCAGGCAGUUGUGAGCUGCCUGGUGUGGGGAGUGGAAACUGUACUGUGGUCCUCUGCAAGAGCAGCAGGCACUCUUAAACACCAAGCCAUCUCUCUAGCCCCCUUGUUUUUUUGAGACAGGGUCUCUCAUUGGCCUGGAACUUGCCAAGUAGGCCAGGCUGGCUGAGCAGUGAAGCCCAGGAAUCUGUCUCUCAAGCAUUGGGUUAAUAACUGUAUACCACCACACACUGGUCCUCACAUAGUUUCUUGAUUGAGCCAUCUCCCCAAUCCCAUGGUCAUCUUUUCAAAGAUGGUGCCCAAAGAGAAGGAUACAGGCUAGUAUUCUUCCCAAUCCAAGAAUUAUGCCAAAACCCCUGGAUCUCAUUGCAACCCUAGUAUGUAAUUAACCGCCUGUGGCCUUCAACUCAAGAUGAGAAGAAUUAGUGGGACGCCAUGCUCCAGCAUCAUGGACCCUCAUGCUUAGCCUUCAGCAGAAAGAUGUGGGCUGAAAGCCCUGACAGGCAGCAACAGCUUCAGGUGCCAGGUGAUCCUGAAAACCUGGCUUUUUCAAGCUGCAAAAGAACCUGUAAUUUACCUUUCAAUUGCUCUUACUUGUCAUGAACACCCCGAAUUGGAUUGGCAUGACCCCGCCCGUCCUCACCUCCUUGAAGUUCCUCCCACUCCCUGAUGCUAGUGACUGAGAAGGGGAGAGUGAGCUGGGAGGUCCCACUCAGUGGUUUCUGAGUUGAACCCAGGUUAUCAGGGUUAUCGGGGAGGACUCUAGAGAGAAAGUACACACUUAUCCCCAGCUGAAAUGCCCUUGAUAGUCUAAAUAAAAGCUACACUUCAAAGGACUUCCAGGAAGUCUCCUAGCCAAGUCCCUUGCUUUCCAGACAUCGUCCCUAAGAUUUCAGCUCUUUGUCUCUGUCUAGCGAAGAUGCAAAUUUUUGAUCUUGGUUUAUUCUCUAUAGCACAUGUUUGCACAGGUGUUAAGCACACACACACACACACACACACACACAUGCAAACAUGAACAUGGUGCCAUGCAUCCUGUACUAUCCUGGUGGCUGUGGGUUUGCUUCUUCAAGGGCAGUUUCAUUUUGAAUAAGAGGUAAGUGUCACCUACAUAGGACUGCCCUAGAGCAAUCCCAGGUAUUUUGAAUUUCUGCCAUGCCCACUGUAUACAAACUCCUCGGAAGGACAUGGUCUCAACUGGCCCACGACACUUCAUAUUUUCUGGCCCAUGACACUUCAGAUUUUCUUCAGUACAAGACAAACUUACCAUCUUACAGAUAACAGAUUUGGUCAGGAUGGAGCACCUGAUCCGCUCAGACCUGUGUCCAAAGAGUGACCAGAUAUACAGCUCUGAAUAGGAAUUGGCCAAGCAACCUAGAAGCUUUCCCUUGCUGCUGCAGCAGAAGAGAUAUGGUCACUGGUUCACUCAGUAGGAUGACCAAUCGUGACACUUUUCCUAAGUCAGCCCCAGGUUUAGCUCCCCCAAAUCUCUUGUCCCAAGAAAUCCCAUGUCCUUGGCAGUCUGGGAUGACUGGAUCUCCCCAGCUCCACAGAGUGGAAUGUGGGAGUUAGAAACACUAUUUCCUACUGUAUAGGGAGGCACAUGACGGUCUGGAUGCUACCGUCCUUGUCAUCCCUGUAGUUCUUGAGUAUAUGGUCUAACUAUGGGAUUAUAGGGCAGGCCAUCUGGGCAGUCCCUCCAACCAUUUCUAUUACCUUACCCACUGUUAGAAAAGACCUAUAGGGAUAAUAGGAGUGGGUCACCAUUCCUUCAAACCUGAAGAAACUCAUACAACACAGACAAUGGCACUGUGUGCUUAGGAAAGGAGGGAGGGACGGAGGGAAGGAGGGAUGGAGGGGGAGGGAGGGAGGGCAGGUGGAUGUUUGUAAGCCUUCUUUGGAUUUCAGCAGCAUUAAACAUCUUUAGGAAGUCUCUUCAAUUCCACCAUGGAGAAUCUGAGAGGCCAAAGACAAUGCCCCACUGUAAAGUCACUGAACACAGCCAUAGAAUCAUGCCAAUGACAAUUCGAGGAAACAAACUAUCCAUCCAUUUUAUAAAUAAAAAAAAGUCUCAAACAUCUUCGAGUGCACAGUCAAGAAGGUGGAGUCAUGACAUGAUUAGGAAGGAUUUCCAACUGCACAAGUAGAGGCCACAGAGGAGGGAGGAGGAAAAGGCUCCGGCUGCUGACAGCACACAGGACAGCGAGGACAUGCACAGAAGGCAACACCAAUGGAGCUGGCGGCUCAGUCACACAGCCCUGGAUGAGCUGAUUGCCAACUGCCACCUCUGAAGAAGGUCUUUUAGCUCAUUCCCUUUGUGUCACAGAAAAUGGCUUCACCUCUACCAGUCCAAAUGUACACCUGCAUGUGGAUCCAACCAGUGCAAGACCACAGCCAGCGCCAGCUCUACUCAACUCCCGGCUCAGCUGUCUCCACUUUCCCUGGCCUCCAAGAGCUAACAGGGCCUUCACGCUGGCUCUCGUGUCACUCUGGAGUCACAUACCUUUUCCAGGCUGCGUGCCAUGCACUGAGAAUGAUCUCUUUACAAGGAACAGCAACAAAAAAAAUCAAGACCCAUUCAACUCAAGAAUAGUUAACUAUUCACUCUGCAUCCGGCUCGAAGAUAAUAGAGCAAAUAAGAAGCAUCUUUGGGUCCAAAGGUGAGGUGGGGUCAGGCAGGGAAGGAUGCGGUGCCUGGGACAGGGGCAGGUGGAGAAGAGCAUUCUGGGUAGUGGCAUCAGGGACUUUUCUACACGACAGAAGAUGAGUUGGGAUGGUGAGCCUUCACCAGCUGUGGGUAAAAUCCAGAGAUGUCUUUUUUCAUUCAAGUCAACACAGAUCAUUCCUUCCCAAGUGUCUCCACAGUCUAGAAGUUUCUAUAUUUUCCAAAAUGAUAUUCCUCAGUUGAAUCCAGGCCUCUCAAGAAGUAGCCUGAUCUCAGCCAAGUCCUGAAAGGAAGACCAGGGACAUAGUUUCCACUUUUCCACAGAGCUUCUGGUGAGUAGCAUGGGUGAGCAGGAACAGCCCUUGGUCAGCCUCCAUCUUGGCCUGUGGACCAAAAGACAGCAAGAGUUAGAUGGUGGCAUCUGCUCUAUCCACAAUGCUUCACUUUCC